Molecule: ribosomal RNA, 434 nt
Filed under: uncultured bacterium
Lineage: Bacteria
Description: partial 16S ribosomal RNA
Rfam family: Bacterial small subunit ribosomal RNA
Source: RNAcentral
AGCGAACGCUGGCGGCAGGCCUAACACAUGCAAGUCGAACGAACCUUUCGGGGUUAUUGGCGGACGGGUGAGUAACACGUGGGAACGUGCCUUUAGGUUCGGAAUAACUCAGGGAAACUUGUGCUAAUACCGAAUGUGCCCUUCGGGGGAAAGAUUUAUCGCCUUUAGAGCGGCCCGCGUCUGAUUAGCUAGUUGGUUGAGGUAAUGGCUCACCAAGGCGACGAUCAGUAGCUGGUCUGAGAGGAUGAUCAGCCACAUUGGGACUGAGACACGGCCCAAACUCCUACGGGAGGCAGCAGUGGGGAAUCUUGCGCAAUGGGCGAAAGCCUGACGCAGCCAGGCCGCGUGAAUGAUGAAGGUCUUAGGAUUGUAAAAUUCUUUCACCGGGGACGAUAAUGACGGUACCCGGAGAAGAAGCCCCGGCUAACUUCGUG